UACGAAGGGGGCUAGCGUUGCUCGGAAUCACUGGGCGUAAAGCGCACGUAGGCGGACUCUUAAGUCAGGGGUGAAAUCCUGGAGCUCAACUCCAGAACUGCCUUUGAUACUGGGAGUCUUGAGUUCGGGAGAGGUGAGUGGAACUGCGAGUGUAGAGGUGAAAUUCGUAGAUAUUCGCAAGAACACCAGUGGCGAAGGCGGCUCACUGGCCCGAUACUGACGCUGAGGUGCGAGAGCGUGGGGAGCGAACCGG
RNAcentral lists this ribosomal RNA (253 nucleotides) under uncultured bacterium. RNAcentral's name for it is "partial 16S ribosomal RNA". It matches the Rfam family "Bacterial small subunit ribosomal RNA", at positions 524 to 776 of the family's 1533-position model. The record is from RNAcentral.